This 497-nucleotide ribosomal RNA is filed under the name uncultured bacterium. RNAcentral's name for it is "partial 16S ribosomal RNA". It matches the Rfam family "Bacterial small subunit ribosomal RNA", at positions 28 to 507 of the family's 1533-position model. The record is from RNAcentral.
GAUGAACGCUGGCGGCGUGCCUAAUACAUGCAAGUCGAGCGAACGGACGAGAAGCUUGCUUUUCUGAUGUUAGCGGCGGACGGGUGAGUAACACGUGGAUAACCUACCUAUAAGACUGGGAUAACUUCGGGAAACCGGAGCUAAUACCGGAUAAUAUUUUGAACCGCAUGGUUCAAAAGUGAAAGACGGUCUUGCUGUCACUUAUAGAUGGAUCCGCGCUGCAUUAGCUAGUUGGUAAGGUAACGGCUUACCAAGGCAACGAUGCAUAGCCGACCUGAGAGGGUGAUCGGCCACACUGGAACUGAGACACGGUCCAGACUCCUACGGGAGGCAGCAGUAGGGAAUCUUCCACAAUGGGCGAAAGCCUGACGGAGCAACGCCGCGUGAGUGAUGAAGGUCUUCGGAUCGUAAAACUCUGUUAUUAGGGAAGAACAUAUGUGUAAGUAACUGUGCACAUCUUGACGGUACCAAAUCAGAAAGCCACGGCUAACUACGUG